RNAcentral lists this small RNA (468 nucleotides) under Pongo abelii (Sumatran orangutan). RNAcentral's name for it is "processed transcript". Lineage: Eukaryota; Metazoa; Chordata; Mammalia; Primates; Hominidae. The record is from RNAcentral.
GGGCGGCCGCGGAGGAGGGGGCGACCACAAGAUGGCGGACCUCUCGCUGCUCCAGGAGGACCUGCAGGAGGACGCAGACGGAUCCCUGGACUUUGUCUCACAAGAUGAAAUGUUGACGCCCCUGGGGAGAUUGGACAAGUAUGCUGCAAGUGAGAACGUAUUUAACAGAACCAACUGUGAGAGCGGAGCUGAUGGAACAGGUGCCUCACAUCGCACUGUUUUGUCAAGAAAACCGGCCUUCAAUACCAUACGCUUUUUCAAAAUUCUUACUACCUAUUGUGGUUAGAUAUCUUGCAGAUCAGAAUAAUCAGGUGAGGAAAACAAGUCAGGCAGCUUUGCUUGCUCUUUUGGAGCAGGAGCUCAUUGAACGAUUUGAUGUGGAGACCAAAGUGUGCCCUGUCCUCAUAGAGCUGACCGCCCCAGAUAGCAAUGAUGAUGUGAAAACAGAAGCUGUGGCUGUAAGUCAAA